CCUACGGGAGACAGCAGUGGGGGAUCUUGCACAAUGGGGGGAACCCUGAUGCAGCGACGCCGCGUGGGUGAAGGAGUGCUUCGGCAUGUAAAGCCCUAUCGGCAGGGAAGAAGCAAGACGGUACCUGACUAAGAAGCCCCGGCUAACUACGUGCCAGCAGCCGCGGUAAUACGUAGGGGGCGAGCGUUAUCCGGAUUCACUGGGUGUAAGGGGAGCGUAGACGGCCAUGCAAGCCAGGGGUGAAAGCCCGGGGCUCAACCCCGGGACUGCCCUUGGAACUGGAUGGCUGGAGUGCGGGAGGGGAAGGCGGAAUUCCUGGUGUAGCGGUGAAAUGCGUAGAGAUCAGGAGGAACACCGGCGGCGAAGGCGGCCUGCUGGACUGCGACUGACGUUGAGGUUCGAAAGCGUGGGGAGCGAACAGGAUUAGAUACCCGGGUAGUC
RNAcentral lists this ribosomal RNA (441 nucleotides) under uncultured bacterium. RNAcentral describes it as "partial 16S ribosomal RNA". It matches the Rfam family "Bacterial small subunit ribosomal RNA", at positions 338 to 795 of the family's 1533-position model. The record is from RNAcentral.